RNAcentral lists this long non-coding RNA (242 nucleotides) under Nicotiana benthamiana. RNAcentral describes it as "long non-coding RNA (NBEN_LNC028525)". Lineage: Eukaryota; Viridiplantae; Streptophyta; Magnoliopsida; Solanales; Solanaceae. The record is from RNAcentral.
GUACUAAAUAAUGACUACACAACUGUAAUUUCUCACAGUACCUGCUCAAGCUUCUGUUCCAACUUCCUGAUCUGGCUUCUUACAGAUUCCAUGUCAUUUGGGGAAUUAGCCUCUUCAUGUUGAACUGUCGGAGAAGCAGCAGAUGGGACUAUUGAUGGUUGUCUAACCUCUUCAUCUUCAUAAUUAAUCUUUCCUGGGAGAUUGAGCGCUCCAAUCCCUUCCCCAGAUGCAACCAUGUUUGA